GGGUAACUCAGUUGGUUAGAGUAUAGUGCUGAUAACGCCAAGGUUGCAGAUUCGAUCCCCAUAUGGGACA
RNAcentral lists this transfer RNA (70 nucleotides) under Podarcis lilfordi (Lilford's wall lizard). RNAcentral's name for it is "tRNA.Ile". The record is from RNAcentral. Lineage: Eukaryota; Metazoa; Chordata; Lepidosauria; Squamata; Lacertidae.